GAACCGACUAAUGUUGAAAAAUUAGCGGAUGACUUGUGGCUGGGGGUGAAAGGCCAAUCAAACCGGGAGAUAGCUGGUUCUCCCCGAAAGCUAUUUAGGUAGCGCCUCGUGAAUUCAUCUCCGGGGGUAGAGCACUGUUUCGGCAAGGGGGUCAUCCCGACUUACCAACCCGAUGCAAACUGCGAAUACCGGAGAAUGUUAUCACGGGAGACACACGGCGGGUGCUAACGUCCGUCGUGAAGAGGGAAACAACCCAGACCGCCAGCUAAGGUCCCAAAGUCAUGGUUAAGUGGGAAACGAUGUGGGAAGGCCCAGACAGCCAGGAUGUUGGCUUAGAAGCAGCCAUCAUUUAAAGAAAGCGUAAUAGCUCACUGGUCGAGUCGGCCUGCGCGGAAGAUGUAACGGGGCUAAACCAUGCACCGAAGCUGCGGCAGCGACACUGUGUGUUGUUGGGUAGGGGAGCGUUCUGUAAGCCUGUGAAGGUGUACUGUGAGGUAUGCUGGAGGUAUCAGAAGUGCGAAUGCUGACAUAAGUAACGAUAAAGCGGGUGAAAAGCCCGCUCGCCGGAAGACCAAGGGUUCCUGUCCAACGUUAAUCGGGGCAGGGUGAGUCGACCCCUAAGGCGAGGCCGAAAGGCGUAGUCGAUGGGAAACAGGUUAAUAUUCCUGUACUUGGUGUUACUGCGAAGGGGGGACGGAGAAGGCUAUGUUGGCCGGGCGACGGUUGUCCCGGUUUAAGCGUGUAGGCUGGUUUUCCAGGCAAAUCCGGAAAAUCAAGGCUGAGGCGUGAUGACGAGGCACUACGGUGCUGAAGCAACAAAUGCCCUGCUUCCAGGAAAAGCCUCUAAGCAUCAGGUAACAUCAAAUCGUACCCCAAACCGACACAGGUGGUCAGGUAGAGAAUACCAAGGCGCUUGAGAGAACUCGGGUGAAGGAACUAGGCAAAAUGGUGCCGUAACUUCGGGAGAAGG
This 970-nucleotide ribosomal RNA is filed under the name Escherichia coli. RNAcentral describes it as "partial 23S ribosomal RNA". It matches the Rfam family "Bacterial large subunit ribosomal RNA", at positions 776 to 1746 of the family's 2925-position model. The record is from RNAcentral. Lineage: Bacteria; Pseudomonadati; Pseudomonadota; Gammaproteobacteria; Enterobacterales; Enterobacteriaceae.